AGUGAACGCUGGCGGUAGGCCUAACACAUGCAAGUCGAACGGCAGCACAGUAAGAGCUUGCUCUUACGGGUGGCGAGUGGCGGACGGGUGAGGAAUACAUCGGAAUCUACUUUUUCGUGGGGGAUAACGUAGGGAAACUUACGCUAAUACCGCAUACGACCUACGGGUGAAAGCAGGGGAUCUUCGGACCUUGCGCGAUUGAAUGAGCCGAUGUCGGAUUAGCUAGUUGGCGGGGUAAAGGCCCACCAAGGCGACGAUCCGUAGCUGGUCUGAGAGGAUGAUCCGCCAGACUGGAACAGAGAAACGGCACAGACUCCUACGGGAGGAAGCAGUGGGGAAUAUUGGACAAUGGGCGCAAGCCUGAUCCAGCCAUACCGCGUGGGUGAAGAAGGCCUUCGGGUUGUAAAGCCCUUUUGUUGGGAAAGAAAAGCAGCACGUUAAUACCCCGCUGUUCUGACGGUACCCAAAGAAUAAGCACCGGCUAACUUCGUG
RNAcentral lists this ribosomal RNA (492 nucleotides) under uncultured bacterium. RNAcentral's name for it is "partial 16S ribosomal RNA". It matches the Rfam family "Bacterial small subunit ribosomal RNA", at positions 29 to 507 of the family's 1533-position model. The record is from RNAcentral.